AUUGAACGCUGGCGGCAGGCCUAACACAUGCAAGUCGAGCGGAUGAAGGGAGCUUGCUCCUGGAUUCAGCGGCGGACGGGUGAGUAAUGCCUAGGAAUCUGCCUGGUAGUGGGGGAUAACGUCCGGAAACGGGCGCUAAUACCGCAUACGUCCUGAGGGAGAAAGUGGGGGAUCUUCGGACCUCACGCUCUCAGAUGAGCCUAGGUCGGAUUAGCUAGUUGGUGGGGUAAAGGCCUACCAAGGCGACGAUCCGUAACUGGUCUGAGAGGAUGAUCAGUCACACUGGAACUGAGACACGGUCCAGACUCCUACGGGAGGCAGCAGUGGGGAAUAUUAGACAAUGGGCGAAAGCCUGAUCCAGCCAUGCCGCGUGUGUGAAGAAGGUCUUCGGAUUGUAAAGCACUUUAAGUUGGGAAGAAGGGCAGUAAGUUAAUACCUUGCUGUUUUGACGUUACCAACAGAAUAAGCACCGGCUAACUUCGUG
Molecule: ribosomal RNA, 484 nt
Filed under: uncultured bacterium
Lineage: Bacteria
Description: partial 16S ribosomal RNA
Rfam family: Bacterial small subunit ribosomal RNA
Source: RNAcentral